This 22-nucleotide microRNA is filed under the name Bombyx mori (domestic silkworm). RNAcentral describes it as "bmo-miR-11-5p". Its record names the gene bmo-miR-11-5p. Lineage: Eukaryota; Metazoa; Arthropoda; Insecta; Lepidoptera; Bombycidae. The record is from miRBase by way of RNAcentral.
UAGCACUCGACAUGUGACCUGU